UUCUGUAAGCCGUUGAAGGUGUGUCGUGAGGCAUGCUGGAGGUAUCAGAAGUGCGAAUGCUGACAUAAGUAACGAUAAAGCGGGUGAAAAGCCCGCUCGCCGGAAGACCAAGGGUUCCUGUCCAACGUUAAUCGGGGCAGGGUGAGUCGACCCCUAAGGCGAGGCCGAAAGGCGUAGUCGAUGGGAAACGGGUUAAUAUUCCCGUACUUGGUGUUACUGCGAAGGGGGGACGGAGAAGGCUAUGUUGGCCGGGCGACGGUAGUCCCGGUUUAAGCGUGUAGGCUGGUUUUCCAGGCAAAUCCGGAAAAUCAAGGCUGAGGCGUGAUGACGAGGCACCACGGUGCUGAAGCAACAAAUGCCCUGCUUCCAGGAAAAGCCUCUAAGCAUCAGGUAACAUCAAAUCGUACCCCAAACCGACACAGGUGGUCAGGUAGAGAAUACCAAGGCGCUUGAGAGAACUCGGGUGAAGGAACUAGGCAAAAUGGUGCCGUAACUUCGGGAGAAGGCACGCUGACACGUAGGUGAAGUGAUUUACUCAUGGAGCUGAAGUCAGUCGAAGAUACCAGCUGGCUGCAACUGUUUAUUAAAAACACAGCACUGUGCAAACACGAAAGUGGACGUAUACGGUGUGACGCCUGCCCGGUGCCGGAAGGUUAAUUGAUGGGGUCAGCGCAAGCGAAGCUCCUGAUCGAAGCCCCGGUAAACGGCGGCCGUAACUAUAACGGUCCUAAGGUAGCGAAAUUCCUUGUCGGGUAAGUUCCGACCUGCACGAAUGGCGUAAUGAUGGCCAGGCUGUCUCCACCCGAGACUCAGUGAAAUUGAACUCGCUGUGAAGAUGCAGUGUACCCGCGGCAAGACGGAAAGACCCCGUGAACCUUUACUAUAGCUUGACACUGAACAUUGAGCCUUGAUGUGUAGGAUAGGUGGGAGGCUUUGAAGCGUGGACGCCAGUCUGCGUGGAGCCGACCUUGAAAUACCACCCUUUAAUGUUUGAUGUUCUAACGUGGACCCGUAAUCCGGGUUGCGGACAGUGUCUGGUGGGUAGUUUGACUGGGGCGGUCUCCUCCUAAAGAGUAACGGAGGAGCACGAAGGUUGGCUAAUCCUGGUCGGACAUCAGGAGGUUAGUGCAAUGGCAUAAGCCAGCUUGACUGCGAGCGUGACGGCGCGAGCAGGUGCGAAAGCAGGUCAUAGUGAUCCGGUGGUUCUGAAUGGAAGGGCCAUCGCUCAACGGAUAAAAGGUACUCCGGGGAUAACAGGCUGAUACCGCCCAAGAGUUCAUAUCGACGGCGGUGUUUGGCACCUCGAUGUCGGCUCAUCACAUCCUGGGGCUGAAGUAGGUCCCAAGGGUAUGGCUGUUCGCCAUUUAAAGUGGUACGCGAGCUGGGUUUAGAACGUCGUGAGACAGUUCGGUCCCUAUCUGCCGUGGGCGCUGGAAGACUGAGGGGGGCUGCUCCUAGUACGAGAGGACCGGAGUGGACGCAUCACUGGUGUUCGGGUUGUCAUGCCAAUGGCACUGCCCGGUAGCUAAAUGCGGAAAAGAUAAGUGCUGAAAGCAUCUAAGCACGAAACUUGCCCCGAGAUGAGUCUUCCCUGAGACUUUGAGUCUCCUGAAGGAACGUUAAAGACGAUGACGUUGAUAGGCCGGGUGUGUAAGCGCAGCGAUGCGUUGAGCUAACCGGUACUAAUGAACCGUGAGGCUUAACCUUACAACGCCGAAGCUGUU
RNAcentral lists this ribosomal RNA (1724 nucleotides) under Salmonella enterica. Its description in RNAcentral is "partial 23S ribosomal RNA". It matches the Rfam family "Bacterial large subunit ribosomal RNA", at positions 1239 to 2925 of the family's 2925-position model. The record is from RNAcentral. Lineage: Bacteria; Pseudomonadati; Pseudomonadota; Gammaproteobacteria; Enterobacterales; Enterobacteriaceae.